AAAGCCUUUUCACCAAAAACCUGCAGAAUUUCAAAUGCAAUUCAUAUUGCAUAGUUCAAGUAACCUAAUAAUUUUUACACUUCUACAGCAGAACAAACAUGUUCAUAACAUAAGAAAUCACCGUUCAUAACUACUUCUGCUUCCACCUAACGUAAGAAAUCACUGCAAACGAAGGACCAAAUGAUGAUAUGUGUGGCUCUUCAUGCUCGGUCCCAUGAACUACUAUCACAGAUCCACUAAUUGAAAAUACCACAAAAUGAAUGGCCGAAAUGAUAAAAUUCUUCAUAAGCCAUAAUAUGGUCACGUUGUCACAAUGUCACCCCUCCCAAACUUAUGGCACAUCUAUUCACCCAACUAAACAAUGAACAGAAGAACACUUCCCUAGAACCUUUGUUCAAUCUUCAUAAUAAAUAAUCAGGACAGUUUGGUAUAGCUCAUUUACAAAUCUUAGCACAACUAUUUAAACUACAUGAUAAAACCCAUACAUGAAAUCCAUUUAACUCCCUACUUGAAUCCAUGCCAAGUCAACCUACCAAAUAACUGGAAAAUGCAGAUAAGGACAGUGUCGCAUUAUGCUUUUUUUAAUAAGAAAACACUCCUUAGCGGAGAGAGAAAAAUAGUUCCUAAUUAUCAUUUUAGGAUUCCUAGACAUUCUAAAUAAGAUAUUGACAGCAAAGAAAAUAAAAUUUCCACAAUUCACAAUACAUUUACAAGAACUUGCACAAAUUUACAAGCUAUCCUUAGAACAAAACUUUAAAAGUAUAAUCUGCAAUCUAACUAGAAUUAUUAAGAAAAAUAGCCAUUCUUAUUACUUACUCCCAAAUUACAUUGCAUUACCCCCUACAGGUCCACAGUUUCUGAGAAACACAAGGCACAUCUCUUCUACAAGUCAAAUCUACAUAGGGAAGAGAAUGCGGUUCCCUUAUGGUGUAAUAAGAUUCAAGAAAAAACUGCUCUCAAAAACAGGUUCAAGAAGAGCACUAUUUUGCACUAACGGAUUCAAUAGAAUAUCAACUACUAAAUUAUUUUGCUCCAUCACAAAAAUGGCUAAGGAAAUAGUAAUUACUAGACAUAAUCAUUUCAAAUAAUUCUCAUCUCAUCAAGAUACAACCCAUAUACACGACAACUGCACCACCAAUCAAGCCUUAAUAUCAAACUAGUUGGAAUUUCUUUUGCCAUUCAGCUCUGUUUGAAAAUACACUAAAAAAAAUACUAAAGUAUGAAGUAUCAGAACCUAAAAUCUAUGGUACUAAAAGAUUCCAAAACAAACCCCACCCAAUCAGGCAUAAUGAAACUAUAAUCCAUAUAUAAGGGAACUCAACAAUGUAAGACUACGCUACCUCAUAAAACAGAGCAUCAAAUAAAAAAUUAAUGCACCAGGCCAUAGAUAAAAAUUCAAAAUCACAAUACCAAUUAAAAAAUUCAACUACACAAUGCCUUAUAAUCAAUACCCGGCUACUAAUCAAAUAAAGAACAAAAGCCACUAAGAAGGCAAGAAGUAAUUUAAUAAUCUAACCUGCUCAAGCACAGUCUCAGU
This 1537-nucleotide unclassified non-coding RNA is filed under the name Hevea brasiliensis (rubber tree). Lineage: Eukaryota; Viridiplantae; Streptophyta; Magnoliopsida; Malpighiales; Euphorbiaceae. The record is from RNAcentral.